This 230-nucleotide ribosomal RNA is filed under the name uncultured bacterium. RNAcentral's name for it is "partial 16S ribosomal RNA". It matches the Rfam family "Bacterial small subunit ribosomal RNA", at positions 562 to 791 of the family's 1533-position model. The record is from RNAcentral.
AAAGGGUCCGUAGGCGGUUUGGUAAGUCAGUGGUGAAAGCCCAUCGCUUAACGAUGGAACGGCCAUUGAUACUGCCAGACUUGAAUUACUAGGAAGUAACUAGAAUAUGUAGUGUAGCGGUGAAAUGCUUAGAUAUUACAUGGAAUACCAAUUGCGAAGGCAGGUUACUACUAGUGGAUUGACGCUGAUGGACGAAAGCGUGGGGAGCGAACAGGAUUAGAUACCCCAGU